GACUCGCUAGCUCAGUCGGUAGAGCAACGGCCUUUUAAGCCGUGGGUCCUGCGUUCGAAUCGCAGGCGGGUCA
RNAcentral lists this transfer RNA (73 nucleotides) under Bacteroidales bacterium. RNAcentral's name for it is "tRNA-Lys". It matches the Rfam family "tRNA". Rfam says of the family: Transfer RNA (tRNA) molecules are approximately 80 nucleotides in length. Lineage: Bacteria; Pseudomonadati; Bacteroidota; Bacteroidia; Bacteroidales. The record is from RNAcentral. RNAcentral also lists the same sequence under 1 other name.